CAUGCUCUCAUAACUCAUGAUAUAUUAUCAAUUAUUUAAAAAAUCUAAUUAAAAUAAGUUUGAUUGUAUAAGAUCAUAUUUGGAUAUAAAAUUUAUAAAUUAAUUUUUAACAUUCACAUAUAAUUAUUAAAAUAUUUUAAAAAUUAUUUAAUUUAAAAAAAUAAGAUAAGUCAUCAAUUCAUAAAAGAUCAUGUCUUUGAUAUUGAUGAUUUGCAUUGCAUCCUAGGCUUGACCUUUAAGGAUUUAAAAAUCCUCUAGUUGAACCUAACCCUUAGAACCUUCAUCUAGAUUCUCCAAAUUGUUUUGAUUUGAUCCUAUUUGCUAUGAUUGAUUAUCAUUCCCCCAACUUAUUAAAUUUUGAUUCCUUAAAUUGAGUUGAAUAUCUUUCUUAAUCUCUGAUUUGAUUACCUUUUGGUCCCUAUUCAAUUUGAGCCAAUUUUCUUUGGAUCUAAACUUCUUGAGCUGUUUUCUAUUUUGAGAAGUCAAUUUUUGGACCUGGUGAGCCGACUCGUGAUUUUCAGAGGAGAAACAGUUCUGUGAGGAGCUGACUCCCAGUUUUACUGGAGUCAAUCCCUCUUCAGGAGCCGACUCAUAUUUGGUAAGAGUCGACCCCUAUGUUUGGGAUGAGUUUCUUAAUUAGAAAUAUCUUAAAGCUUUAUCAUUCUAUUUUCAAUUUUUUCGAGCCGUAAUUCCUUUUAAACCCCUUUCCCAUCAAAAUUUGAACUUUCUCUCUAUUUCUACUCAAUUCUUGUUAUCCUUAUUCUUCAAUGGCACCCUGAAAGCAAUUCACCCAAAAGAAGAAGAAGUCCCAUGCAUAAAUUCAAGAAUUUAAGGCUUCUCCAAGUAAUUCUCCUGUGUAAAAAAAAAAAGAAAGACCAAGCUUCGAAAUGAUCAUGAGCAAAAAAAAGAUUUGAGUUUAUGAAGUAAGAAAGAAUUGUAAUUGAUCAGAAAAUUAAAAGGAUGAGUUGGAAGUCUAGUUUUCAAAAUGAAAGAUGUGUAAGUUGAGAUGGACAUUGAUAGUAUUGGACACACACUACAUAUAUAGACCGAUAGAAGCAUCUUAGAUCAUCUUGAGUAGCGACACAUUAGAUUGAGUUUUGUAUUAAAUCGAGAUGAUCAAGGAUAUUGAGGAUAUUAGUGCCAGCACUCAUACUAUAGCAGAUGAUGAUGAUGAUGAGCCUCCGACAACUAUUCUUAUGAUACAAAUAUCAAAUUCGAGAAGUCACUAGCAGCACAGACAGGGGCAGUUUCUAAUUAUCCUGAGAGUUUAAACAGACCAUCUAUUAGAUUGGAUGAGGAUUUAUUGGUUUAGAGAGUCUCUUCGAGGAUCGUGGAUAUGGUCCGCGCACAAAUUCAGCAACUCACUUCAAAGGCCAUUUCACUACUCAGGGAGGAGACUGCACGGUUGAUCUAGGAGAUUUCUAUUGUGAGGUCGGAUGCUCAAGAGCAACCAUCUGGAGAUGCUCAUCCACCCUCACCAUCUCAGCCUGAACCCUCUACCUAAGAUUUUAUCGUUCUAUCCUUUUAGGAUGCUAGGACUCAUCUUGUAGAGCUUUUAUAUUCCUAACAAUCCACCUUUUGGUAGAUAUUAUUUGGUUUCAUGCAUGUAUUGAUGACCUUUUGUAAUCAUUAUCUUUUGCAAUCACUUUUUAAAAAUCAAUGAAUGAGAAUUGUUCUUUUAUAAAAAUGUCCAAUAUACAAUGUUAUUGAUUCAAUUGAGCUUAUUGUAUUUAUAUUUACACACGCUUGCUUUAUGUGCCUUGUCCAUAACACUAAGGGGGAGAAAUAUGUAAAACUUAUUUUUCUUGAAAUUAAUUGAAUAUAUAUAUUUUGGAAGAAAAAGGAGGAGUAUCAAGAUAAAUAAAUCAUUUGGCAUUAACUAUUAAAAAUAGGAAGAGAAUUAAGUAAAUUAAGAUUUUCCAGCAUUUGUUAUGAAAAAUAGGGGGAGU
This 1949-nucleotide long non-coding RNA is filed under the name Elaeis guineensis (African oil palm). RNAcentral describes it as "long non-coding RNA (EGUI_LNC022084)". The record is from RNAcentral. Lineage: Eukaryota; Viridiplantae; Streptophyta; Magnoliopsida; Arecales; Arecaceae.